UUAGCAUAAAGACAACAGUAACUCCUGUAACAGUAUAAUACCGCAGCAGAGGUCACUAGAAUUGGCACUCAGAAAAACCUGGAUGCAUCUUUCCAGAUCUUCAGAUCUUUCAUCUCAUGAAAAAAGCACUGGGAUGGGCAUUUUCUUUUUCUUCAAGUCUAUUGGACAAAAAUGGAGCAAGACACCUCCACACCCCUCCUGCCUCUGCCCUCAUCAUUCAAGCACCCUUGUUUUGUGCAAAGUUCACUGCAUCUCCUUGGGGCUCAAUUCAGCAACCUUACAAUGGAAGUGCAUGGCAUAGAGGGACUGCCUAGAAUGCCAGCAUAAGCAUCUGUUGUCAAUGAAAAACUACAUGGGAUAUUGAAUUCUGACGCUUAGGAGGGGUCCCUGCCAUACACUGCCAGAGAGUGGUACCCAACAGAUUACUCCUGAGGAAAUGCAGCCUUCAUCGGAGAAAAAGGUUCUUCCACUCCUGGUUUAUAAGAAUGACUUUCUGGUGUUAUUUGGCCUGAAAUACGGGACUGACAUUGUGGAAUAAUUAUUUAUCAAAGUAAUUCUAUAUUAGCGAUAGGAAGGAUUCUCUUAAGUUUUCUAAUGAGCAGGCUGAAGCUCCAACAAGCUUCAGGUCUGCUCAUAAGAAAGGCUCACCCAAUGCUGCCACUGCCCCCCCCCACUCCACUACAACAGCCACCUCCUUCCCUUCUCACAUACCUAAAUAAACUAUUGAAUGUGGGCAUAUUGAUGUUAUUGGUAUUGGGUAUUGUUAACUGACCUAGGUGUGUUUUAAAUCAGGGCAGGGAUGGGGAACCUCAGGACCAGGAGCCAAAUGUGGCCCUCCAGGCCCUGGGGACUCUCUCUAGGCCACACCCCUUCCAAGACUACGUCUCUGACUGUGCUCUGUGCUCUUCUCGAGGUGCUUUGGUGUGGCUGGAAUGUUUCCUUGAACUGUGAAAAUGUUACUUGCUUAGCUGGAUUGAAGAUAGAGAGAUGUGUAUGUGAUUAGAAACCUUUGACUUUUGCGUGGCUGGAAUGUAACCUACCGCAUAAAGGAAAAAGUCACACUUGUUGCUCUAGCCUCCUUUUUCUGGCCUCACCCACCACUGGCAUGUGGCCCCUGGAAGAUUCCCUGCAAGGGAAUACAAACCUUGGGCUGAAAAAGGAUCCUCUGUCCCUGUUUUAAAUGAAUUGUGAAUUGCACAAGGGAAGGGCUGUGGCUCAGUUGGAGAACACAUGUUUUGCAUCCAAAAGGUCUCAGGUUCAAUCCCAUGAGGAUUCAAUACAUGUAGGGCUGGGAGAUACCCCUUUGGAAAUGCUAGACAGCCACUAUGUAGUAUAUUGGCCCUCCAGGCUUGCCAUACCAGGAACUGCUGAGUCAGCCUCAGGCUGUGGUAGUCAGUUCCAGGUCUGCCUUACAAGCAGCACCAUGCGGUGGGCCUUGUUCCCUGUAUAUGAUUAGUUAUAGUAAAGUUCUUGUUGUUGUUUAAAUAAUCUGUGUGGCUUCUUCCUUCAUGAUACUUUUCACUGGUGACGAGGAUGGGAUCUACUGAGGAACACAGCGUGUUUUCUUCAUGCAUUGCAACGGAUUGUAGAAGGUGACUAGGACCAACGCCUUGCAAGUUUUCUCCUGAAACAUCACACCUUGUGCCACAGUGGGAAGGAGCCCAGCUGAGCUAUUGAUGAACAGACUACUAACGACUCUGCUUGAUCGGUUGUAUCCUGACUUAACCGAGGACUGACCAAGGGAGUCCAUUGCAGUUCAAGAACCUGCACGGCUGUUCACCCCAGUGACCGGGUGUAUGUCAGGAACUACGGUGCUGGUGAAAUGUGUAUUCCUGCCACUGUGACCCAAGCCAUGGGCCCAUUGUCCUACAGGGCUCAAACACCGAACGGCCAUGUGUUACGUCAACAUGUGGACCAGAUGAGAGGACGAAGCCCAGCGCCAUCAGUUCUUUCUGAGGGUGCUGGAAACACUCAGGUGGAAAGAGAAAAUGAGCCAGUGGCUGCUCCUGAUGCCGGACAAGAGCAGUUGCGCCUGGACCCUGUAGUGGACCUGCAUGAACCAGAGCCAAAUGGGGAACUAGGGGAUGCACUAUCAGCUUCAAUGCAAAUUGUCGUCAAUCGACCUGCACCAGGGCUCGUCCCAAGUAUCUUCAGGACUAUGAGAGCUAGGGGGGAGGGGUGUAGUGUAUUGGCCCUCCAGGCUUACCAUACCAGGAACUGCUGAGUCAGCCCCAGGCUGUGGUAGUCCGUUCCAGGCCUGCCUUACAAGCAGCACCAUGCUGUGGGCCUUGUUCCCUGUAUAUGAUUAGUUAUAAUAAAGUUCUUGUUGUUGUUUAGA
Long non-coding RNA from Rhineura floridana, 2338 nucleotides. RefSeq lists it as uncharacterized. NCBI's taxonomy places the organism in Eukaryota, Metazoa, Chordata, Lepidosauria, Squamata, Rhineuridae. The record is from RefSeq and is a predicted model, not a curated record. The transcript is spliced from 3 exons.